UAGGGAUUCUUCCACAAUGGACGCAAGUCUGAUGGAGCAACGCCGCGUGAGUGAAGAAGGUUUUCGGAUCGUAAAGCUCUGUUGUUGGUGAAGAAGGAUAGAGGUAGUAACUGGCCUUUAUUUGACGGUAAUCAACCAGAAAGUCACGUCUAACUACGUGCCAGCAGCCGCGGUAAUACGUAGGUGGCAAGCGUUGUCCGGAUUUAUUGGGCGUAAAGCGAGCGCAGGCGGAAGAAUAAGUCUGAUGUGAAGGCCUUCGGCUUAACCGAGGAACUGCAUCGGAAACUGUGUGUCUUGAGUGCAGAAGAGGAGAGUGGAAUUCCGGGGGUAGCGGUGGAGUACGUAGAUAAAUGGAAGAAAACCAGUGGCGAAGGCGACUCUCUGGUCUGCAACUGACGCUGAGGCUCGAAAGCAUGGGUAGCGAACAAG
Molecule: ribosomal RNA, 429 nt
Filed under: bacterium
Lineage: Bacteria
Description: partial 16S ribosomal RNA
Rfam family: Bacterial small subunit ribosomal RNA
Source: RNAcentral